AAACCAUCAAGCCCUGCUUGGUCUUGGACGCGGUCGAGUGACCCGUCCGUAACCCGUUGGCGGUACGGUCCAGCUUCAAGCGUAGCAAGAAUUUCGCUUCAGGAGUCCGCGGCGGCGUCUGCCAGGAAACACCACCCAAAGU
RNAcentral lists this unclassified non-coding RNA (142 nucleotides) under uncultured Mycosphaerellaceae. RNAcentral describes it as "sequence contains ITS2". Lineage: Eukaryota; Fungi; Ascomycota; Dothideomycetes; Mycosphaerellales; Mycosphaerellaceae. The record is from RNAcentral.